CGUAGGGGCGAAGCGUUGUCCGGAAUUAUUGGGCGUAAAGCGCGCGCAGGCGGUUAUUUAAGUUGGGUGUUUAAUCCCGGGGCUCAACCUCGGGUCGCACCCAAAACUGGGUAACUUGAGUACAGAAGAGGGAAGUGGAAUUCCACGUGUAGCGGUGAAAUGCGUAGAGAUGUGGAGGAACACCAGUGGCGAAGGCGACUUUCUGGGCUGUAACUGACGCUGAGGCGCGAAAGCGUGGGGAGCAAACAGGAUU
RNAcentral lists this ribosomal RNA (253 nucleotides) under uncultured bacterium. RNAcentral describes it as "partial 16S ribosomal RNA". It matches the Rfam family "Bacterial small subunit ribosomal RNA", at positions 526 to 779 of the family's 1533-position model. The record is from RNAcentral.